GAAAUGCGAUACGUAAUGCGAAUUGCAGAACUCAGUGAAUCAUCGAAUUUUUGAACGCAAAUUGCGCUCUCGGGUUACCCCCAAGAGCACACCUCUCUGAGUGUCGGUUAAACCUUAUGUCACCAAUUUAUUGGUGCACGAUGUGAGGGUAAGUAGCCUUGUGCUGUUUUCCCUUUAAAUACUAAUACUACAUAAGAGUGAGGGAUACUCCUCAGGUGGCAAGUUGAGUUGGUUUACCAACAACGCAAUCCACUUCAAGCUCUUUAUGAUGUAUCUAGAAACAACUCGGUUGUUGUCUUCUGACAGUGUAGACAAUGAUCAAACUUAUGAAUUAGACCUCAGAUGAAGUGGGAAGACCCCCUGAAUUUAA
This 370-nucleotide unclassified non-coding RNA is filed under the name uncultured fungus. RNAcentral describes it as "sequence contains ITS1". The stretch from base 1 to 106 matches the Rfam family "5.8S ribosomal RNA", at positions 50 to 154 of the family's 154-position model. Lineage: Eukaryota; Fungi. The record is from RNAcentral.